AUUGAACGCUGGCGGCAUGCCUUACACAUGCAAGUCGAACGGUAACGGGCCUUCGGGUGCCGACGAGUGGCGAACGGGUGAGUAAUGUAUCGGAACGUACCUUUCAGUGGGGGAUAACGUAGCGAAAGUUACGCUAAUACCGCAUAUUCUGUGAGCAGGAAAGCAGGGGAUCGCAAGACCUUGCGCUGAUUGAGCGGCCGAUCUCAGAUUAGCUAGUUGGUGAGGUAAAGGCUCACCAAGGCGACGAUCUGUAGCGGGUCUGAGAGGAUGAUCCGCCACACUGGAACUGAGACACGGUCCAGACUCCUACGGGAGGCAGCAGUGGGGAAUUUUGGACAAUGGGGGCAACCCUGAUCCAGCCAUGCCGCGUGAGUGAAGAAGGCCUUCGGGUUGUAAA
This 397-nucleotide ribosomal RNA is filed under the name uncultured bacterium. Its description in RNAcentral is "bacterial SSU rRNA". It matches the Rfam family "Bacterial small subunit ribosomal RNA", at positions 30 to 429 of the family's 1533-position model. The record is from RNAcentral.